This 518-nucleotide unclassified non-coding RNA is filed under the name uncultured Glomeromycotina. RNAcentral's name for it is "SSU rRNA". It matches the Rfam family "Eukaryotic small subunit ribosomal RNA", at positions 571 to 1092 of the family's 1831-position model. The record is from RNAcentral. Lineage: Eukaryota; Fungi; Glomeromycota.
CAGCCGGGUAAUUCCAGCUCCAAUAGCGUAUAUUAAAGUUGUUGCAGUUAAAAAGCUCGUAGUUGAAUUUCGGGAUCAAUUUAUUGGUCGUGCUAUUGUACGUACUGGUAUUAUUGAUUCCUACCUUCUGACGAACCAUGAUGUCAUUAAUUUGGUGUCUUGGGGAAUCAGGACUGUUACUUUGAAAAAAUUAGAGUGUUUAAAGCAGGCUCACGCUUGAAUACAUUAGCAUGGAAUAACGAAAUAGGACGUUUGAUUCUAUUUUGUUGGUUUCUAGGAUCGACGUAAUGAUUAAUAGGGAUAGUUGGGGGCAUUAGUAUUCAAUUGUCAGAGGUGAAAUUCUUGGAUUUAUUGAAGACUAACUACUGCGAAAGCAUUUGCCAAGGAUGUUUUCAUUAAUCAAGAACGAAAGUUAGGGGAUCGAAGACGAUCAGAUACCGUCGUAGUCUUAACCAUAAACUAUGCCGACUAGGGAUCGGAUGAUGUUAAUUUUUUAAUGACUCAUUCGGCGCCUUACG